AUUGAACGCUGGCGGCAGGCCUAACACAUGCAAGUCGAGCGCGCGGCGGACGGGUGAGUAAAGUAUGGGGACUGCCCGAUAGAGGGGGAUAACUACUGGAAACAGUAGGUAAUAUCUCAUACUAUAGCAUAGCCCAUCUGGGAUUAGCUAGUAGGUGGGGUAAUGGCUCACCUAGGCGACGAUGCCUCGCUGGUCUGAGAGGAUGAUCAGCAACACUGGGACUGAGACACGGCCCAGACGCCGACGGAGGCAGCAGUGGGGAAUAUUGCACAAUGGGCGCAAGCCUGAUGCAGCCAUGCCGCGUGUAUGAAGAAGGCCUUAGGGUUGUAAAGUACUUUCAGUCGGGAGGCGUUACCGACAGAAGAAGCACCGGCUAACUCCGUGCCAGCCGCCGCGGUAAUUC
This 403-nucleotide ribosomal RNA is filed under the name uncultured bacterium. Its description in RNAcentral is "partial 16S ribosomal RNA". It matches the Rfam family "Bacterial small subunit ribosomal RNA", at positions 30 to 526 of the family's 1533-position model. The record is from RNAcentral.